AUACGGAGGGUGCAAGCGUUACUCGGAAUCAUUGGGCGUAAAGCGCGCGCAGGCGGCUAUUUAAGUUGGAUGUGAAAGCCUACGGCUCAACCGUAGAACUGCAUCCAAAACUAUUUAGCUAGAGUGUGGGAGAGGAAGAUGGAAUUAGUUGUGUAGGGGUAAAAUCCGUAGAGAUAACUAGGAAUACCAAAAGCGAAGGCAAUCUUCUGGAACACUACUGACGCUGAGGCGCGAAAGCGUGGGGAGCAAACAGGAUUAGAAACCCUAGUAGUCC
RNAcentral lists this ribosomal RNA (274 nucleotides) under uncultured bacterium. RNAcentral's name for it is "partial 16S ribosomal RNA". It matches the Rfam family "Bacterial small subunit ribosomal RNA", at positions 523 to 796 of the family's 1533-position model. The record is from RNAcentral.